CAACGUACAAACCUUAUCGAUAAACAAUUGGAGGGCAAGUCUGGUGCCAGCAGCCGCGGUAAUUCCAGCUCCAAUAGCGUAUAUUAACGUUGUUGCAGUUAAAAAGCUCGUAGUUGAAAUGAAGGGUAGUUGUGUAAUGAAUACAUUCGUGUAUUUUGUUAUUCUACUACCCUCCUUCUAAAUUCGAUAUAUGAGUAUUAAUUUACUUGUAUAUGGUUUUAGACYUUUACUGUGAGAAAAUUAGAGUGUUCAAAGCAGGCAUUUGCUUGAAUAUAUUAGCAUGGAAUAAUCAUGUAUGAUUUUCAUGAUGUAUUUGAUUGGUUUGGUUCAUGAGAAUAAGAUUAAAAGGGACAGUUGGGGGUAUUCAUAUUCAAUAGUCAGAGGUGAAAUUCUCGGAUUUAUGGAAGAUGAACAAGGCGGAAAGCAA
RNAcentral lists this ribosomal RNA (427 nucleotides) under Blastocystis sp. RNAcentral describes it as "SSU rRNA". Lineage: Eukaryota; Bigyra; Opalinata; Blastocystidae. The record is from RNAcentral.